This 238-nucleotide unclassified non-coding RNA is filed under the name Hevea brasiliensis (rubber tree). Lineage: Eukaryota; Viridiplantae; Streptophyta; Magnoliopsida; Malpighiales; Euphorbiaceae. The record is from RNAcentral.
GAUAUAGUCCCCAUAAAUCAAUGUGGAUCAAAUCAAAGAUAGAGUUUGUGGUAAUUUUUCUUUUUUAGAAACUGAGUCUUUUUUGUUUGGCAAGUGGGCAUAUCUCACAUAUUUCAUGACUUUCGUGCUUUGGAGUAAUGGCUUUGAUGUGAGAUAGUUUGCUGUUUGAUAUGUGCCCAAGUCUGUAAUGCCACAAUUCAUAAGAAUUAGAUGAUGCAAAUGUUUGAUGAACUUCAUU